AAAUUAUAUCAGAUUAAAUAUCUACAAAUAUUUAAUUUGUUGUCACAUGAACUUUUUAUAGUUAAAGCUAUUUUAUUUUUUAGCAUUAAGUUGUCGCCAAAUUUGUAAUUUGUACGACGAGAUUUAUUGUUCAUAUAUACGACGAGAAUUAGACAGAAAGAGAUUUUACACUUUUUUUUGGUUAAAAUGAUAUGAUUUCCUAGGAUAUUUUUUAGAAAG
RNAcentral lists this unclassified non-coding RNA (219 nucleotides) under Hevea brasiliensis (rubber tree). The record is from RNAcentral. Lineage: Eukaryota; Viridiplantae; Streptophyta; Magnoliopsida; Malpighiales; Euphorbiaceae.